GACAGAUUCCUAUUAAUCUGUGCAAACCCUUGUAAUUUCAUCAAGUCUAAAAGCCUUUUGGUAUCUUUACUCCAACAAUGGCGGCUACACACCUUGUCUCACACUCUCCAUCACUUCACAAGUCCCUCAAAUACCCAUCAAAUGCAUCACAAAAACUUUCUUUUUUCAAACCCAAUUUUCCGUUGAAGCCCAUUUCAAGAAACCUUAGCAUAAGGGCAUCUGUAUCAACUUCUGAGCCUCAAACUCAGAAAUUUCAGCAUUGUUUCAAGAAAUGUGAAGAUGGGUUUUUGUAUUGUGAGGGUGUUAAGGUUGAAGAUGUUAUGGAGACUGUCGAAAGACGACCCUUUUAUUUAUAUAGUAAGCCCCAAAUUACUAGGAACGUUGAGGCUUAUAAGGCCGCUUUAGAGGGCUUGGAUUCAAUUAUUGGUUACGCUAUUAAGGCCAACAAUAAUCUCAAGAUUUUGGAACAUUUGAGGAGCCUUGGUUGUGGAGCUGUUUUGGUUAGUGGGAAUGAACUCAAAUUGGCACUUGGUGCUGGAUUUGAUCCUACCAAGUGUAUUUUUAAUGGAAAUGGAAAGCUGUUAGAGGACCUAGUGCUAGCUGCCCAAGCAGGUGUGUUUGUAAACAUCGACAGUGAAUUUGACUUGGAUAACAUUGUAGCAGCUGCAAGACUGGCUGGGAAGAAAGUUAACGUGCUACUCAGGAUUAAUCCAGAUGUAGAUCCCCAGGUUCAUCCUUAUGUUGCCACUGGGAAUAAGAGCUCCAAAUUUGGCAUCAGAAAUGAGAAGCUGCAAUGGUUUCUAGAUGCUGUCAAGGCACAUCCUCAGGAAUUGAAACUUGUUGGAGCUCAUUGUCAUCUUGGGUCAACUAUCACCAAGGUAGACAUUUUUCGAGAUGCAGCUGCCUUGAUGGUGAACUACAUUGACGAAAUCCGAUCUCAAGGAUUUGAAAUUGAUUACCUGAAUAUUGGAGGUGGUUUAGGGAUUGAUUACUAUCAUGCUGGAGCUAUCCUUCCUUCACCUAGAGAUCUUAUUAAUACGGUACGAGAAUUAGUCCUUUCUCGAAACCUCAAUCUCAUUAUUGAACCUGGAAGAUCACUAAUUGCAAACACAUGCUGCUUGGUUAACAGAGUUACUGGAGUGAAAACCAAUGGGACCAAGAACUUUAUUGUGAUUGAUGGUAGUAUGGCUGAGCUUAUACGUCCAAGUCUUUAUGAUGCUUAUCAGAACUUUUGUGAAUGCGUACUCCAAAAAUCUUAUGCUUUGUUCUUGUUGGUGGUCAUAUUGUUCAACUUUUUGAAGUCGCCUACUGUUGCACAUAGAGCUUGUUUCCCCUCCACCUCCGGAAGCUGCAAUUGCUAAGUUUGAUGUUGUUGGUCCUGUAUGUGAGUCGGCUGAUUUCCUGGGGAAGGACCGUGAACUUCCCGCCCCUUCUAGGGGCACUGGUUUGGUAGUUCACGAUGCAGGUGCUUACUGCAUGAGUAUGGCAUCAACUUACAAUCUCAAAAUGCGCCCACCAGAGUACUGGGUGGAAGAAGAUGGAUCACUGUCCAAAAUCCGUCAUGGGGAGACAUUCGAAGACCAUUUAAGAUUGUUUGAAGGUCUGUAAACUUAUGGUUUCUUUUAAGCACUUAAACAUGACAGGAUGUGAGACUCAGAAAUUCCUCUGGUAGUUUGGUUCCUGUCAGUGUUGACAAUUCUGUAUUUGGAUUGUUCCAAUUAAUGGAUUUUCCCCAUGACUUUCCACCUU
This is an RNA transcript of Solanum lycopersicum (tomato), 1749 nucleotides long. It is a transcript of the gene named diaminopimelate decarboxylase 1, chloroplastic, with no coding region annotated. Lineage: Eukaryota; Viridiplantae; Streptophyta; Magnoliopsida; Solanales; Solanaceae. The record is from RefSeq and is a predicted model, not a curated record.